UGGCUCCCUUUGGUUAAAAUAUUUGCAUUAGAUGCUAAAUAUACAAAUAACAUAUUUUAGCCUUUUUUUUUUUUGAGACAGAGUCUUGCUCUGUCACUCAGGCUGGAGUGCAGUUGCGUGAUCUCAGCUCACUUCAACCUCGGCCUCUGGGGUUCAAGGGAAUCUCCUGCCUCAGCCUCUUGAGUAGCUAGGAUUACAAUCACCUGCCACCACACCCAGCUAAUUUUUUUUUUUUGUAUUGUCUGUAGAGAUGGCAUUUCACCGUGUUGACCAGGCUGGUUUUGAACUCCUGACCUUAAGUGAUUUGCCUGCCUCAGCCUACCAAAGUGCUGGGAUUACAAGGUGA
Molecule: long non-coding RNA, 346 nt
Filed under: Callithrix jacchus (white-tufted-ear marmoset)
Lineage: Eukaryota; Metazoa; Chordata; Mammalia; Primates; Cebidae
Description: lncRNA (ENSCJAG00000076905.1)
Source: RNAcentral